This 253-nucleotide ribosomal RNA is filed under the name uncultured bacterium. Its description in RNAcentral is "partial 16S ribosomal RNA". It matches the Rfam family "Bacterial small subunit ribosomal RNA", at positions 524 to 776 of the family's 1533-position model. The record is from RNAcentral.
UACAGAGGGUGCAAGCGUUAAUCGGAAUUACUGGGCGUAAAGCGUGCGUAGACGGUUAAGUAAGUUAGGUGUGAAAGCCCCGGGCUCAACCUGGGAAUUGCAUUUAAGACUGCAUAGCUAGGGUGCGGAAGAGGGAAGCGGAAUUUCCGGUGUAGCGGUGAAAUGCGCAGAUAUCAGGAAGAACACCCGUGGCGAAGGCGGCUCUCUGGGACGGUACUGACGCUGAGACGCGAAAGCGUGGGGAGCGAACAGG